CAAUAGCGUAUAUUUAAGUUGCUGCAGUUAAAAAGCUCGUGUUGGAUUUCGGGUGGGAAUGGCCGGUCCGCCGUUUCGGUGUGCACUUGCUACGCCCACCUUGCUGCCGGGGACGUGCUCUUGAGUUCACGCUCGGGACACGGAGUCGGCGAGGUUACUUUGAGUAAAUUAGAGUGUUCAAAGCAGGCCUACGCUCUGAAUACAUUAGCAUGGAAUAACACGAUAGGACUCUGGCCUAUCUUGUUGGUCUGUAGGACCGGAGUAAUGAUUAAGAGGGACAGUCGGGGGCAUUCGUAUUUCAUUGUCAGAGGUGAAAUUCUUGGAUUUAUGAAAGACGAACUACUGCGAAAGCAUUUGCCAAGGAUGUUUUCAUUAA
This 376-nucleotide ribosomal RNA is filed under the name uncultured eukaryote. RNAcentral describes it as "partial 18S ribosomal RNA". It matches the Rfam family "Eukaryotic small subunit ribosomal RNA", at positions 592 to 976 of the family's 1831-position model. The record is from RNAcentral.